RNAcentral lists this ribosomal RNA (486 nucleotides) under uncultured bacterium. Its description in RNAcentral is "partial 16S ribosomal RNA". It matches the Rfam family "Bacterial small subunit ribosomal RNA", at positions 30 to 507 of the family's 1533-position model. The record is from RNAcentral.
AUUGAACGCUGGCGGCAUGCCUUACACAUGCAAGUCGAACGGCAGCACGGGUGCUUGCACCUGGUGGCGAGUGGCGAACGGGUGAGUAUUACAUCGGAACAUGUCCUUUAGUGGGGGAUAGCCCGGCGAAAGCCGGAUUAAUACCGCAUACGAUCUACGGAUGAAAGCGGGGGACCUUCGGGCCUCGCGCUAUAGGGUUGGCCGAUGGCUGAUUAGCUAGUUGGUGGGGUAAAGGCCUACCAAGGCGACGAUCAGCAGCUGGUCUGAGAGGACGACCAGCCACACUGGGACUGAGACACGGCCCAGACUCCUACGGGAGGCAGCAGUGGGGAAUUUUGGACAAUGGGCGAAAGCCUGAUCCAGCAAUGCCGCGUGUGUGAAGAAGGCCUUCGGGUUGUAAAGCACUUUUGUCCGGAAAGAAAUCCUUGGCCCUAAUACGGUCGGGGGAUGACGGUACCGGAAGAAUAAGCACCGGCUAACUACGUG